This 429-nucleotide ribosomal RNA is filed under the name Chloroflexota bacterium. Its description in RNAcentral is "Chloroflexi bacterium partial 16S ribosomal RNA". It matches the Rfam family "Bacterial small subunit ribosomal RNA", at positions 355 to 776 of the family's 1533-position model. Lineage: Bacteria; Bacillati; Chloroflexota. The record is from RNAcentral.
UGGGGAAUAUUGCACAAUGGGCGCAAGCCUGAUGCAGCCAUGCCGCGGGUAUGAAGAAGGCCUUCGGGUUGUAAAGUACUUUCAGCGGGGAGGAAGGGAGUAAAGUUAAUACCUUUGCUCAGUGACGUUACCCGCAGAAGAAGCACCGGCGAACUCCGUGCCAGCAGCCGCGGUAAUACGGAGGGUGCAAGCGUUAAUCGGAAUUACUUGGCGUAAAGCGCACGCAGGCGGUUUGUUAAGUCAGAUGUGAAAUCCCCGGGCUCAACCUGGGAACUGCAUCUGUUACUGGCAAGGUUGAGUCUCGUAGAGGGGGGUAGAAUUCCAGGUGUAGCGGUGAAAUGCGUAGGGAUCUGGAGGAAUACCGGUGGCGAAGGCGGCCCCCUGGACAAAGGCUGACGCUCAGGUGCGAAAGCGUGGGGAGCAAACAGG